CGGUGUAGUGGGGUAUUCAGUUAUUCUACUACUCCUUUGGUCGUUUACUGUGAGAAAAUUAGAGUGUUCAAAGCGGGCGUUUGUUUGAAUAGAUUAGCAUGGAAUAAUGAUUGAAGGCUUUCGUGUUCGAUUUGAUUGGUUUGUUCAUGGAAGCAAGGUUAAAAGGAACAGUUGGGGGUAUUCAUAUUCACUAGUUAGAGGUGAAAUUCUCGGAUUUAUGGAAGAUGAACAGGUGCGAAAGCAUUUACCAAGGAUGUUUUCAUUAAUCAAGAACGAAAGCUAGGGGAUCGAAGAGGAUUAGAUACCCUCGUAGUCUUAGCUAUAAACGAUAC
Molecule: ribosomal RNA, 332 nt
Filed under: Blastocystis sp. subtype 2
Lineage: Eukaryota; Bigyra; Opalinata; Blastocystidae
Description: SSU rRNA
Rfam family: Eukaryotic small subunit ribosomal RNA
Source: RNAcentral